GGUGGGCCCCACCUGUCAGCGGGUGCGGGCGCGGGCGCUAGGCGGGCUAGGCUGCGGGCGCGCGCGAGGAGUUGGGCCGGUUCGGCCCAAUUCGGCCGGGCCGGUCCGUCUGCUCCUUUUUUUUCUUUUACCCUUUUCUUUUUCUGUUUUUCUUAUUCCUUUGAUAUCUUUUGAUUUUGAACUCCCAAUUGGUCCAAAUAAAUCCCAUAAAAUCAUGUUCUACCAUGAUACAACUUUUGGAAGUAGUUUCCCCUCAAAAUAAAAUAUAUAAAAAUACAUUUGCCCUAUAAAUACCUUUAGGGCUGUAGAUCCAUUUAAAUAAAAUACUUUUUCAACUCCAAAUAAUUAUCCAAAAAUUAUGGGAUGGCUAUAUGUCCAUUAAGCCCCUUUUAUAGAUAAAACCUAUUGGUUUGAAAAUCCAAAGCUCAUAUGGGUGUAAACCCUAGGGUUUAAAAUGAAAUAAAAAAUCUUUCCAAAGCCUUUUGAGAUUCAAAAUUUGAAUUCAAAUAUGCAAUUAUGGCAUGAUGCUCAUGGAAUGCAAUGCACAUGUAAAAGUUUGAAAAUUUGGGAUGUUACAAAUUAUGGUUUUAUUAGCCCAUGUAAUUAUUCGCUACUUUUAGAAAUUUCGCUUUCUGGUUCUACUUGGUACUUGUUUCUGAAAUUGACUUGCGGGGUGGAUCUUACUAUCCCCGUGUGUUUAUGCUUUGUGUUGCCGGGGACUUGCACGCUACUCACUUAACCAGAUCAGGGACCCGGGACGGACCCGCAGUGCCAACCUAGGGUUAAAUAGCAGCGGCGAGCCACUCCACUUGC
This 813-nucleotide long non-coding RNA is filed under the name Brachypodium distachyon (stiff brome). RNAcentral describes it as "long non-coding RNA (BDIS_LNC003401)". Lineage: Eukaryota; Viridiplantae; Streptophyta; Magnoliopsida; Poales; Poaceae. The record is from RNAcentral.